CUGUGGAAUAAAUUAAAAUCCUUUGCCUUUUUCAAGAAUCAGCAACAUUGCGGUGUGGGCUGAAGGCAGAGAGCAACAGCUUUCACCUUCAUCACUCCCUCCUCCACUUGCACACUCGCUCGCGCACACAGGGGUGGCUCGGGAACGAGCUUCGCAUCCAGCGGUCCGGCGACGGAGGGAAUAUGCUCAGUUCAGAUAUGAAUGAAUGAAAAUAUGACAGCUUCACACAGACAGAGAUGUCUGGAACACCAUUUCCGGUUCGGGCUGACCUGUCAGGUGUUACGUGCUGCUCGGUCCACAUCUGGAGCAGCAGCGCGCGGACUGUGAAGCCACGAGAACAGGAUGAAAAUCGUUCGUUUGGUGCUGAUUCGCCCUUUCAGCGUCUCAGUUAUUUCGCCCCUUAAUUAGAAGACCGGUAACCGCGGUGAAAAUCUGCUGAUCAAACAAUGGAAAGACCUUCAGUGCAUCAACCUAAAGGAUAGAAGAUAGAAAGCCAGAGAGCCUGGAGGGGAAACCAUGGUCAUCGCUGAUAGAAACACCGGCACCCCUGUGCCUAAAAAGGAGCCCCAGAAGAAAAGGAAGUCUCGCCCUCAUGGCCUGCCCUCUCCGGCACUCUGCUGUGCUUGUGGCCUAUGCAUCAUGCUGGCUGGACUCAACAUCACCCUGGUGGGAGCAUUCGCCUUCAGCACACUGAUGCCUUCUGCCAACCCCCCAAUCAUCAUCGGACCUAUCCUGCUGCUGGUGGCCUUUUCCUUUUUCGGAGCGUGUUGCGUGUGCAGUCGACUCCCGCCUCCACACAGCUCACGAAGGUCCAAGGUUGGGGGCAGAGGGGCUGGCUUGAUGGGACACGGCGGGCAGGCUGGCGGGGCAGCGUUUGAAAUAGAGACCAGCGAGCACACGCUGCAGGACACUACAGCUGUGCAGCUGAGCCCCACAUCCUCCCCUGCAUCAUCCCAGGCAUCCAGCUCAGAAAAAGAGGCUCCUGAUGCUGAUGCAGCCCUGCCGGGACCUUGCAAGCUCUUCACCAUGGAGACAAACGGCCCGUCUUGUGUUUCUGCCACCGCAGUCUACUCAACCUCCGCAGCAGCAGGAGGGGAGGUGAAGCUCAACCUACCACGUGAAGAAGUGGUCAUCUAGCAGGGCAGAAACUCUUAGUCUAUGCUAGUAGUGUAAAUAUCCUUCUGGGCAGAGGGGCUGCUGGGUGUGAUUGUAUUCUCUAGUUUACGUACUGCCAUAUUUCUAGUUGUGAAAAGGUGUCAAAAGUUACACUUUUAUUUAUUCAUUUAUUUACUUUCUUGCCGUGCCAACUGGUAAAUAGCAUGCAAGUAUUUGUGGAUCAAAGGUUUCGGAAUUCAAAUUCCUACCUCUCUUGUGUCGUUUUCUUACAGGUCUUUGUUUUUAACGUGGGGCAUUAUGAACUGAUUUCAUGAAGAAGUCAAAGAGUCUGAAACCUUAAACACUCUUUUUCACUCUUGUUCUGAUUAAUGGAAACCUCAACUCUCAGCAGUGACUUUAGAGGGCUAACUAACAAAAAAGACUAAACAUCUGAUUAUUUAUUUCUUCUGAAAACUUUACACGUGAAAGGUCAGUAGCUAAACUGGACGGAAACGCAUUUAAUGACAUUUGGCAUUUUGUGUGCCAUGCUCAGUGCUCAGCUUGUUUUGGGGGUGUAAGCUAUUAUAGGUCAUACAUGUGCCAAAGCAAUAUUCCCUUGAAAUGCAAAGGGAUUGCACCACACAAUAGCCAAUUGCAAUGUAUACAGGUGUAACUAUAUACAGUGUCGUUCGAAGUCAUUAUUUCUGUAGUUUGAUGUAACGAAUACCAUCAUCAAUGCUGUGAAUAUUAUGUUUCUCUCUUUUCAUCUGGCGGUUUAUAACAUGUUAAACUUUUAAUCGAAGGCAACCCCAUCAGUUUAAGGUCAUGUUGAUCAGAGCUUUACUCGGUAGUUCCUAAUGCAGUCGGAGCAAGGAUUUCUUUCUCCUCUUACUCAGCGUGCAUUUCAUUACUUUUUUAGAGUGCUAUAAGAGCAUCUUUUCUAAAUGUGAACAAAGGAAUUUCACAGGAGAUGUUUUCCUCCUAUGGACCUAACAUUGACAGCACUGGAAAGCCAAGAAGUUUAGAUAUUCCAAUUAUAUAAAAUGCAUCUGUUCCCCGUCACUGUGAUGGCUUCAUGUCAGUUUAAAUCUGCCUAGUAGACAUUCAACCCAUGAUUUCCUUUGAAAGGAAAAGUUGCCUUAGACUGAGAUAUCAGGAUCAAACUAAUGAGGGCUAUAAAAAAGUGCACAACAGCAGUUUUCUGCGGAAAGCCUUUGUUUGGCUCCAGAUUUCUAUUCAGCAUUGAUAAGAAAGACUCAGUGAUUUUGUGUUUUUUUGUGUUAUAAAUGCAUGCAGGAUGUGCUCAGAAGUCUGUAUGAGGUAGCAGUUGCAUACAUACAGACAAACAGACACUGUUUGACAUUUUUAAAAAAAAGCCAGUUGGUGUUCCUUCAGAGUUCGCCUCUGAUGCUAAAUUAGAGUGUCAAGCUUAAUUUUGCAUGCUCAGAAAAUGGGUUACGGGAAUGCAAACACCCUGAUGUGAAUGAUUAAUGUUGUCUGUGUGUUUUAAAUUGUGUAGCACCUAUAGAAAAUGUGAAACAAAAAAAACAUGUAAAGGAUAGAAUAUUUUUGUCAAGACUCUAAUUUAAAGGACCCUAACCCAAUGUGAUUUCUUUAAAAGGCAUAAAUAAAAAGGCUCUUUCUGUAAAAA
Long non-coding RNA from Astatotilapia calliptera (eastern happy), 2746 nucleotides. NCBI's taxonomy places the organism in Eukaryota, Metazoa, Chordata, Actinopteri, Cichliformes, Cichlidae. The record is from Ensembl.